UACGGAGGAUCCAAGCGUUAUCCGGAUUUAUUGGGUUUAAAGGGUGCGUAGGCGGAUUGAUAAGUUAGAGGUGAAAUGUCCGAGCUUAACUCGGGAACUGCCUCUAAUACUGUUGAUCUAGAGAGUAGAUGCGGUAGGCGGAAUGUAUGGUGUAGCGGUGAAAUGCUUAGAGAUCAUGCAGAACACCGAUUGCGAAGGCAGCUUACCAAUCUAUAUCUGACGUUGAGGCACGAAAGCGUGGGGAGCAAACAGG
This 253-nucleotide ribosomal RNA is filed under the name uncultured bacterium. RNAcentral describes it as "partial 16S ribosomal RNA". It matches the Rfam family "Bacterial small subunit ribosomal RNA", at positions 524 to 776 of the family's 1533-position model. The record is from RNAcentral.